UAGGGAAUCUUCCACAAUGGGUGAAAGCCUGAUGGAGCAACGCCGCGUGUGUGAUGAAGGGUUUCGGCUCGUAAAACACUGUUGUAAGAGAAGAAUGACAUUGAGAGUAACUGUUCAAUGUGUGACGGUAUCUUACCAGAAAGGAGCGGCUAAAUACGUGCCAG
RNAcentral lists this ribosomal RNA (164 nucleotides) under uncultured bacterium. Its description in RNAcentral is "partial 16S rRNA". It matches the Rfam family "Bacterial small subunit ribosomal RNA", at positions 355 to 511 of the family's 1533-position model. The record is from RNAcentral.